UACGAAGGGGGCUAGCGUUGUUCGGAAUUACUGGGCGUAAAGCGCACGUAGGCGGCUUUUUAAGUCAGGGGUGAAAUCCUGGAGCUCAACUCCAGAACUGCCUUUGAUACUGAGAAGCUUGAGUCCGGGAGAGGUGAGUGGAACUGCGAGUGUAGAGGUGAAAUUCGUAGAUAUUCGCAAGAACACCAGUGGCGAAGGCGGCUCACUGGACCGGUACUGACGCUGAGGUGCGAAAGCGUGGGGAGCAAACAGG
RNAcentral lists this ribosomal RNA (253 nucleotides) under uncultured bacterium. RNAcentral describes it as "partial 16S ribosomal RNA". It matches the Rfam family "Bacterial small subunit ribosomal RNA", at positions 524 to 776 of the family's 1533-position model. The record is from RNAcentral.